Bufo gargarizans (Asiatic toad) is the source of this 917-nucleotide long non-coding RNA. RefSeq lists it as uncharacterized. The record is from RefSeq and is a predicted model, not a curated record. The transcript is spliced from 5 exons. Lineage: Eukaryota; Metazoa; Chordata; Amphibia; Anura; Bufonidae.
GGCUUCCAUACUCAAGUGCGGUGACGUCACACGCCAAGCUCCCGGACUCCAACUAGGGUUCCCUCGUGUGAGUGAUUUGCUGCCGGCCGGAGCACCACCCACACUAGAGGUUGAACUUGAAGGCGACCUGUAAACCAACCCACCGGAUCCGAAAAGAAUUAUACUCCACGGACAGAUAAAUUACCUGUCAAAUAAGGGGACACCCUGGAAUCAUCCAAUGAUACUGUCGAGUUUCGUAGACCUGUUCUGGGAUUCAAGCUUCCAUGGUGGUUUGGAUUAGUUCUGGGGCUGCUCGUCCUCCCCGUCAUCAUCUAUCUGCUCUACAAGUGCUUCCAUCCCCGAUCCGUCAUGGAUCAGUUCCUGAAGUCUCAAGGCUUUCACUUAAAUGGCUGAUUAUAUGCCUAGUUUCUACAAGUGUCCUGUUUGUGUGUGCAACAUCAAGAAUACAACGCAGGAUCACAGAGAAAAAGUCAAGUUAUUAAAUUUUCUUUUCAGCCAUUAAAUAGUUUUAUCUGUUUCUGGGAAAGCGGAAAACUUAAUAUUCUGGCUGCACAAAACCACAUUUAGAGAGGGCACGGGGCUUACUGCAUACUGUGUGACUGCAACAUAGAAUGAAUAUGCCGUUAGCACCUAGUCGGGAAACCAAAUCCAACACUCUGGGGACUUCCUCUUUAUUGUAGAAAAAUUAAAAACAGUCUGAACCGCAAUCCAGUAGCAGCAUAAUUUAGCGUAUUCGUUUCAGGUAUACAAACUGCUGCCAAUCAGCUGUAUGAGGAGAUAGCGCACGCAGUGCAUACGUGCUGUCUCCCUUUUCUCUUCCUGUUUACCGCUACUUUGCCAUAGACAAAAGUGCAUCUGUCAGCAGGUUUGUACCUAUGACACUGGCCCGACCUGUUAUAUGUGCACUUGGCAGCUAA